AUUCUUUUUCAUCUUACAAAUAUUGUUAAAAUUCCAGUGUGCUUUGAUGCAACAUUUGAUAUUUUCAUUUCCCCAAACAUUUGCUAAUCAUCCAUUUUGAGAGGAGACAAGGUUUUUCUUCAUGGUUUUCAGCCAUGGGGUGCUUUGACAAAUGUCUUGCUAUUCGAUAUGAAUAAACUUAGUUUGCCUUCAGAUUUAAUGAUAAAAUAAUCUCUGGCCUGUGUUUGUAAACACACACCUUAAAAGCUAGUCAUUUGUAAAAACGAGUAAGGGUCCCAAACUUCAUCUUCCACCCAGGUCUCCUUUCUUGAGCCCUCGUUUAGUCAGCUGUUCUUGUUUCCUUGGGAUUUCUGACCCUGCAUUUGGUUCUCUCCAGUCUAACCGCAUUGGGAGAGCUCAUAAAGCAGCAGUGUAUUAUGUCAUGGAUUCCGCAGAGCUUCUGCAGCCUUCUCUCCCAACAAAAGUGGUUGGAGCAGCUCUGAGGUCCUCCGUAGCUGUUUUUCAAAGAUUCUCCUGUGUGUCAAAGAAGGGCAGCACUUACAAUGGAAGGAUACAGAGCUGGGACCCAGGCAUCCAGAGGUUGAAAGAAAGGUGGAGUGAGACCUCCCAGCGUGACCAGAUAGCCAGAACUGGUCAGUUCAGAGCAUUUGAGACCCCUGCCUCAGGAUGGGCACCUCCUAACCCAGAAAAAGCAUUCUAGGUGAUUUCUCUCUUUCGCUGUGUAUACAGCUGGCUACAUCAUGAUGCUGCUAUGAGUCAGAUCCUGUUUUAUAUUCACUUUGUCUCAUUGCAUCUUCCCAGCAUUGCUGUGAGCUCCCUGGAGGAUACCUGGAAUGGAGCUUGCAAUAGCUUUACCUGCCUGCCUGCCUGUCCUGUGGCUCUGCCCAGCUUCCAUCUUUCCAAGAGGAGAAGAAUAGUUGUGAGGGCUUCUUCACACCCCACAGGCUGGGACAACAAGCCAAGCCCUCCUUCUCUCUCUCUCUUCCCAAGUGUCAGAGCAUCCUCAGGUGGUGCUUUGUGCUUUGCUGCAGUAGCUGUGAAGAGAUACCUCACGUCCAAGAUAAGAGAAGCCCAUGUAAGACGAGCAAGUGCUAGUGAAUCUGGAGGACUUUAAUUCAGACCUUCAUCACUAUUGAAUUAACUGAUUGGCCUUCCCUUGGUUUAAGUGGGGGGUGGGGAGGUGCAAAAGAAUAAAGAGAAAAGACUGUUUUUGAGUAUCAGUUGCUGGU
Molecule: long non-coding RNA, 1229 nt
Filed under: Capra hircus (goat)
Lineage: Eukaryota; Metazoa; Chordata; Mammalia; Artiodactyla; Bovidae
Description: lncRNA (ENSCHIG00000001426.1)
Source: RNAcentral